This is a non-coding RNA of Ipomoea nil (Japanese morning glory), 74 nucleotides long. Lineage: Eukaryota; Viridiplantae; Streptophyta; Magnoliopsida; Solanales; Convolvulaceae. The record is from the annotation of a RefSeq genome assembly.
GUUUGGGUGGUGUAGUUGGUUAUCAUGCUAGUCUUACAUGCUAGAGGUCCCCAGUUCAAUCUUGGGCUUAGACA